Molecule: ribosomal RNA, 164 nt
Filed under: uncultured bacterium
Lineage: Bacteria
Description: partial 16S rRNA
Rfam family: Bacterial small subunit ribosomal RNA
Source: RNAcentral
UAGGGAAUCUUCGGCAAUGGACGAAAGUCUGACCGAGCAACGCCGCGUGAGUGAAGAAGGUUUUCGGAUCGUAAAACUCUGUUGGUAGAGAAGAACGUUGGUGAGAGUGGAAAGCUCAUCAAGUGACGGUAACUACCCAGAAAGGGACGGCUAACUACGUGCCC